RNAcentral lists this ribosomal RNA (245 nucleotides) under uncultured bacterium. Its description in RNAcentral is "partial 16S ribosomal RNA". It matches the Rfam family "Bacterial small subunit ribosomal RNA", at positions 90 to 334 of the family's 1533-position model. The record is from RNAcentral.
CGUGAGCGGCGGACGGGGGAGUAACGCGUGGGUAACCGUGCCUCAUACAGGGGGAUAACAGUUGGAAACGGCUGCUAAUACCGCAUAAGCGCACAGUACCGCAUGGUACGGUGUGAAAAACUCCGGUGGUAUGAGAUGGACCCGCGUCUGAUUAGGUAGUUGGUGGGGUAACGGCCUACCAAGCCGACGAUCAGUAGCCGACCUGAGAGGGUGACCGGCCACAUUGGGACUGAGACACGGUCCAA